ACCCACAAAUUUUGGAUGCUUGAGUCAGAAUAAAGAUUAAGGGAGCAAUGAGAAAACAACCUUAUUGCAUUCUCCUGCCCUUCUCUAUCUGUACUUGUAUCUCUAUUCAGCCAGAAAACAUUUCCCCUCCUUGCAAUUUAACGAAAAACAUUUAGUGACACUAUCAUCUUCCUACUUUGUACUUCUAGCCACCUACAAGUGACAUUGUGUUUCUCUAAUAGGCCAUUAUGUUGUCUGCCUGAAAGCGUUUGUUUGAUAUAAUUCCUUACAAAUGUACUAGAAAAGACAGAUUUGUUUCUAGCUUUCUAAAAAUGUAUUUUAGAUUUAUUUUUUUUAAUGAUGCUGCUUUUAUUUCAAACCUCUUUACCUAUAACUUCAGUUUUGUUCUCCCAUAGUAUGAUGGAUCUUUCCUGCACUCAGGAAGGCUGCAGUUAAGUCAUUCAGUUUUAGCACUCUUCCUGAACUGACACACAAGAAGCCAAGUUUUAUGAAAAAUAAAAAUAAAAAAUAAAAAAAUCCAGCUCUCUCAAGGAGGGCUGAUUCAUUCCCAGUGAUGUGGAGGGGCACAAAUGCUAUAGGUCUGCUAUGGGAGUAAGGUUUUCAGAGCCAAGCCAAAAGAGAGGAGAAUUUCAGUUCUGCCCUUAAGUUGCAGGCAUUUUUGAAAAAUGAUUUUUCUAAUUGAAGUACUAGUUGCUAUUAAAAAAAAAAAAAUCAUCUGUUUUCUGGGCAUAACAAUUGUACAUCCACAUUGAAAGCAGGGGGGGGAUUUUUCACCAGAUCUUUCAUUUUAUAAUCUUAUUUCAUACUUAUUCUGCUUUGAGAUAGCCCAGAUCGACCGGAGGAGCCAGCUGAUGCAUCCUGAGAACAGCAGACUGGUCCAGGCACGUGGCAGAAAGCAACCACCAAGGUGCACCAACAGAGUAAUUUGCACAUGGACAGAAGUAUACCGGCCUUCUUCAUUUCAAUUUUCCAGAUACAACAAGUUAUAGCAUAAUUGGCUGCUGUGAGGAAAAAACAAGGGAAGAUUACAUCACUGCUUUAAGUACAAUGCUACUUCUCUUAGAGUCAGUAAAGAUUUGGGAUAUUUCCAAGCUGUAUCAACCAACUGUAUGAGCUUAUGAGGCAAUAUUUCUAUCCUUCACCAAUAUUUCUAAGUGUUAAGCCAAUAAAUUAUUAUGAUCCUUUUUUUUAGCUCUUGGA
Molecule: long non-coding RNA, 1200 nt
Filed under: Anas platyrhynchos platyrhynchos (common mallard)
Lineage: Eukaryota; Metazoa; Chordata; Aves; Anseriformes; Anatidae
Description: lncRNA (ENSAPLG00000019277.1)
Source: RNAcentral